Non-coding RNA from Pseudohyphozyma bogoriensis, 91 nucleotides. The record is from the annotation of a GenBank genome assembly. Lineage: Eukaryota; Fungi; Basidiomycota; Microbotryomycetes; Chrysozymaceae.
GGUCCGCUAGUAUAUCGGUUAGUACGCUCGGUUUUGAUUUCCUGAUCCAUUUCAAGUCCGAGUGAGCCCGGUUCGAUUCCGGGGCGGACCU